GCACUAGAUAGUGCCAAUAACCUCUAUAGUGGGCACCUUGCACGCGCUCCCCACACACUCCUGCAGACGCGUGGCGUGCGAAUGGCUUGCUAAAUCAAUUAUAGUUUGUUUGAUGGUAUCUGGUACUCGGAUAACCAUAGUAAUUUUAGAGCUAAUAUGUGCAACGAACUUCGACUGUUUGAAGAGAUGCAUUUAUUAGAUAAAAGGUUGAUGCGGGCUCUGUCCGUUGCUCUGAUGAUUCAUGAUAACUCGACGGAUCGCACGACCAUCGUGCCGAAGACACAUCAUUCAAAUUUCUGUCCUAUUAACUUUCGAUGGUAGGAUAGUGGCCUACUAUGGUUGUGACGGGUGACAGAGAACUAGGGUUCGAUUUCGGAGAGGGAGCCUGAGAAACGACUACUAAAUCCAAGGAAGGCAGCAUGCGCACAAAUUAACCAAUCUUGACACGGGGAGGUAGUGAAAAUAAAUAACAAUACUGGACUUUUCGAGUCUGGUAAUUGGAAUGAGUACAAUAUAAAUCCCUUAACGAGGAUCAAUUGGAGGGCAAGUUUGAUGCUAGCAGCCGAGAUAAUUCCAGCUCCAAUAGCGUAUAUUUAAGUUGUUGUAGUUAAAAAACUCAUAAUUGGACUUUGGGUUGGGUCGAUCGAUCCGCCUAUGGUGAGCAUUGGUCGGCUCGUCUCUUCUGUCGGUGAUGCGCUCUUGGCCUUUACUGGUCGGGUCGUGCCUCCGAUGCUGUCACUUUGAAGAAAUUAGUGUGCUCAAAGCAAGCAUACGCUCUGUAUUCAUUAGCAUGGGAUAACAUCAUAGGAUUUCGAUCAUAUUCUGUUGGUCUUCAGGAUCGAAGUAAUGAUUAACGGGAACUGUCGGGGGCAUUCGUAUUUCAUAGUCAGAGGUGAAAUUCUUGGAUUUAUGAAAGAUGAACAAUUGCAAAAGCAUUUGCCAAGAAUGUUUUCAUUAAUCAAGAACGAAAGUUGGGGGCUUGAAGACGAUCAGAUACCAUCCUAUUAGCAACCAUAAACGAUGCUGACCAGGGAUCGACAGAUGUUGGUUUAAGGACCCCGCCGGCACCUUACGAGAAAUCAAAGUCUUUGAGAUCCGGGGGGAGUAUGGUCGCAAGGCUGAAACUUAAAGCAAUUGAUAGAAGGGCACCACCAGGAGUAGAGCCUAUGGCUUAAUUUGACUAAAUAUGGGGAAACUUACCAGGUCCAGACAUAGUAAGGAUUGACAGACUUAGAGCUCUUUCUUGAUUCUAUGGGUUGUAGUGAAUGGUCGUUUUUAGUUGGUGGAGCAAUUUGUCUGAUUAAUUUCGUUAACGAACGAGACCUCAAGCUGCUAACUAGCUAUACAGAGGUACCCCUCCACGACCAACUUCUUAGAGAGACUAUGGCCGCUUAGGCCAAGGAUUGUUUGAGGCAAUAACAGGUCUAUGAUGCCCUUAGAUGUUUUGGGUCGCACGUGCGUUAUACUGAUGUAUUCAACAAGUUUAUAGCCUUGGCCGAUAGGCUCGGGUAAUCUUUGAAAUCUUAUCGUGACGGGGAUAGAUUAUUGCAAUUGUUGGUCUUCAACGAGGAAUUCCUAGUAAGCGCGAGUCAUCAGCUCGCGUUGACUACGUCCCUACCCUUUGUACACACCGUCCAUCGCUCCUACCGAUUGAAUGGUCUAGUGAAGUGUUUGAAUCGUGGCGACAUAGGCAGUUCAUUACCCACAACGUCAUGAGAAGUCCAUUGAACCUUAUUAUUUAAGGAAGGAGAAGUAGAAAAAAGUUUUCCGUAGGUGAACCUACGAAAGGGUCAUUA
Cucumis melo (muskmelon) is the source of this 1796-nucleotide non-coding RNA. The record is from Rfam. Lineage: Eukaryota; Viridiplantae; Streptophyta; Magnoliopsida; Cucurbitales; Cucurbitaceae.